This is a non-coding RNA of Phycisphaerae bacterium SM1_79, 98 nucleotides long. The record is from Rfam. NCBI's taxonomy places the organism in Bacteria, Pseudomonadati, Planctomycetota, Phycisphaerae.
UAGCGAUGCCAAACAACUCGAUGCGCAAGCAGGUCUCGAAAGUGGGAUAGGCGCGAUACUGGCGGCCUUGUCAGGAAUCAAUAAUAUAUCCGGUCCCG